AGGUAAGCUACUAAGAGCGAAUGGUGGAUGCCUUGACUGGUAAAGGCGAUGAAGGACGUACUAGACUGCGAUAAGCUACGGGGAGCUGUCAAGAAGCUUUGAUCCGUAGAUUUCCGAAUGGGGCAACCCAAUGUAUAGAGAUAUACAUUACCUAUAUAGGAGCGAACGAGGGGAAUUGAAACAUCUUAGUACCCUCAGGAAAAGAAAUCAAUAGAGAUUGCGUCAGUAGCGGCGAGCGAAAGCGCAAGAGGGCAAACCCAGUGCUUGCACUGGGGGUUGUAGGACUGCAAUGUGCAAGAGGUGAGUUUAGCAGAACAUUCUGGAAAGUAUAGCCAUAGAGGGUGAUAGUCCCGUAUGCGAAAAACAAACCUUAGCUAGCAGUAUCCUGAGUAGGGCGGGACACGAGAAAUCCUGUCUGAAGCUGGGUCGACCACGAUCCAACCCUAAAUACUAAUACCAGAUCGAUAGUGCACAAGUACCGUGAGGGAAAGGUGAAAAGAACUGAGGUGAUCAGAGUGAAAUAGAACCUGAAACCAUUUGCUUACAAUCAUUCAGAGCCCUAUGUAGCAAUACAGGGUGAUGGACUGCCUUUUGCAUAAUGAGCCUGCGAGUUGUGGUGUCUGGCAAGGUUAAGCAAACGCGAAGCCGUAGCGAAAGCGAGUCUGAAUAGGGCGCUUAGUCAGAUGCUGCAGACCCGAAACGAAGUGAUCUAUCCAUGAGCAAGUUGAAGCUAGUGUAAGAACUAGUGGAGGACUGAACCCAUAGGCGUUGAAAAGCCCCGGGAUGACUUGUGGAUAGGGGUGAAAGGCCAAUCAAACUUCGUGAUAGCUGGUUCUCUCCGAAAUAUAUUUAGGUAUAGCGUUGUGUCGUAAUAUAAGGGGGUAGAGCACUGAAUGGGCUAGGGCAUACACCAAUGUACCAAACCCUAUCAAACUCCGAAUACCUUAUAUGUAAUCACAGCAGUCAGGCGGCGAGUGAUAAAAUCCGUCGUCAAGAGGGAAACAACCCAGACUACCAGCUAAGGUCCCUAAAUCUUACUUAAGUGGAAAACGAUGUGAAGUUACUUAAACAACCAGGAGGUUGGCUUAGAAGCAGCCAUCCUUUAAAGAAAGCGUAAUAGCUCACUGGUCUAGUGAUUUUGCGCGGAAAAUAUAACGGGGCUAAAGUAAGUACCGAAGCUGUAGACUUGCACACAACUUAGAUUAUUUAAGUUUAGAAUAUGAGAAACUAAGUUAUAUGUUUAGUUAUAUUUUUACUGAUUUUUAUAGAGUAAAGAUAGAAAUAAAACUUAGUAAAAUCAGUAAAAAUAUUCUUAGACUAAAGUUAAGUAGUUUAAGUUGUGUGCAAGUGGUAGGAGAGCGUUCUAUUUGCGUCGAAGGUAUACCGGUAAGGAGUGCUGGAGCGAAUAGAAGUGAGCAUGCAGGCAUGAGUAGCGAUAAUUAAUGUGAGAAUCAUUAACGCCGUAAACCCAAGGUUUCCUACGCGAUGCUCGUCAUCGUAGGGUUAGUCGGGUCCUAAGUCGAGUCCGAAAGGGGUAGACGAUGGCAAAUUGGUUAAUAUUCCAAUACCAACAUUAGUGUGCGAUGGAAGGACGCUUAGGGCUAAGGGGGCUAGCGGAUGGAAGUGCUAGUCUAAGGUCGUAGGAGGUUAUACAGGCAAAUCCGUAUAACAAUACUCCGAGAACUGAAAGGCUUUUUGAAGUCUUCGGAUGGAUAGAAGAACCCCUGAUGCCGUCGAGCCAAGAAAAGUUUCUAAGUUUAGCUAAUGUUGCCCGUACCGUAAACCGACACAGGUGGGUGGGAUGAGUAUUCUAAGGCGCGUGGAAGAACUCUCUUUAAGGAACUCUGCAAAAUAGCACCGUAUCUUCGGUAUAAGGUGUGGUUCGCUUCGUAUUAGGAUUUACUCCGAAAGCGAAGAAACUUACAACAAAGAGUCCCUCCCGACUGUUUACCAAAAACACAGCACUCUGCUAACUCGUAAGAGGAUGUAUAGGGUGUGACGCCUGCCCGGUGCUCGAAGGUUAAUUGAUGGGGUUAGCAUUAGCGAAGCUCUUGAUCGAAGCCCGAGUAAACGGCGGCCGUAACUAUAACGGUCCUAAGGUAGCGAAAUUCCUUGUCGGUUAAAUACCGACCUGCAUGAAUGGCGUAACGAGAUGGGAGCUGUCUCAAAGAGGGAUCCAGUGAAAUUGUAGUGGAGGUGAAAAUUCCUCCUACCCGCGGCAAGACGGAAAGACCCCGUGGACCUUUACUACAGCUUGACACUGCUAUUUGGAUAAGAAUGUGCAGGAUAGGUGGGAGGCUUUGAGUAUAUGACGCCAGUUGUAUAUGAGCCAUUGUUGAGAUACCACUCUUUCUUAUUUGGGUAGCUAACCAGCUUGAGUUAUCCUCAAGUGGGACAAUGUCUGGUGGGUAGUUUGACUGGGGCGGUCGCCUCCCAAAUAAUAACGGAGGCUUACAAAGGUUGGCUCAGAACGGUUGGAAAUCGUUCGUAGAGUAUAAAGGUAUAAGCCAGCUUAACUGCAAGACAUACAAGUCAAGCAGAGACGAAAGUCGGUCUUAGUGAUCCGGUGGUUCUGUGUGGAAGGGCCAUCGCUCAAAGGAUAAAAGGUACCCCGGGGAUAACAGGCUGAUCUCCCCCAAGAGCUCACAUCGACGGGGAGGUUUGGCACCUCGAUGUCGGCUCAUCGCAUCCUGGGGCUGGAGCAGGUCCCAAGGGUAUGGCUGUUCGCCAUUUAAAGCGGUACGCGAGCUGGGUUCAGAACGUCGUGAGACAGUUCGGUCCCUAUCUGCCGUGGGCGUAAGAAGAUUGAAGAGAUUUGACCCUAGUACGAGAGGACCGGGUUGAACAAACCACUGGUGUAGCUGUUGUUCUGCCAAGAGCAUCGCAGCGUAGCUAAGUUUGGAAAGGAUAAACGCUGAAAGCAUCUAAGCGUGAAGCCAACUCUAAGAUGAAUCUUCUCUAAGCUCUCUAGAAGACUACUAGUUUGAUAGGCUGGGUGUGUAAUGGAUGAAAGUCCUUUAGCUGACCAGUACUAAUAGAGCGUUUGGCUUAUCUUU
This 3056-nucleotide ribosomal RNA is filed under the name Campylobacter coli. RNAcentral's name for it is "23S ribosomal RNA". It matches the Rfam family "Bacterial large subunit ribosomal RNA". Lineage: Bacteria; Pseudomonadati; Campylobacterota; Epsilonproteobacteria; Campylobacterales; Campylobacteraceae. The record is from RNAcentral.